GACGAACGCUGGCGGCGUGCUUAACACAUGCAAGUCGAACGGAAAGGCCCUGCUUUUGUGGGGUGCUCGAGUGGCGAACGGGUGAGUAACACGUGAGUAACCUGCCCUUGACUUUGGGAUAACUUCAGGAAACUGGGGCUAAUACCCGAUAGGAGCUCCUGCUGCAUGGUGGGGGUUGGAAAGUUUCGGCGGUUGGGGAUGGACUCGCGGCUUAUCAGCUUGUUGGUGGGGUAGUGGCUUACCAAGGCUUUGACGGGUAGCCGGCCUGAGAGGGUGACCGGCCACAUUGGGACUGGGGUACGGCCCAGACUCCUACGGGAGGCAGCAGUGGAGAAUAUUGCACAGUGAGCGGAAGCCUGAUGCAGCGACGCCGGGUGCGGAAUGACGGCCUUCGGGUUGUGAACCGCUUUCGCCUGUGACGAUGCGUGAGUGACGGUAAUGGGUGAAGAAGCACCGGCUAACUACGUG
RNAcentral lists this ribosomal RNA (468 nucleotides) under uncultured bacterium. RNAcentral's name for it is "partial 16S ribosomal RNA". It matches the Rfam family "Bacterial small subunit ribosomal RNA", at positions 28 to 507 of the family's 1533-position model. The record is from RNAcentral.